Molecule: long non-coding RNA, 1535 nt
Filed under: Elaeis guineensis (African oil palm)
Lineage: Eukaryota; Viridiplantae; Streptophyta; Magnoliopsida; Arecales; Arecaceae
Description: long non-coding RNA (EGUI_LNC065384)
Source: RNAcentral
UCUUAGGCUAAGUUAUAUUGGAGAAGAAAUGAUUAAUAAACUGGAGAAUAUGGGCCUUUGGGCUUAUUGACUGUUGAGUCAAAUCUAGUUUAUGCAUCAUCUCUUUGAGAAAAUAUGACUAAGCUACUCUUGUGGGACAAGAGAAAAAGGACCACUGAGAUACUUAUCGUUGUACAUAUUUGAUGUGUGUAGUCCAUGUGAUGUGCUAAUCAAGGAGUUGUCUCUACUUUGUAUAUAAGAUACAAAUCUGAAAUUUUUAAAAGUUUCAAAGAAUUCAAAUGAAAGUAGAGAAACAAAUCAAAAAAUUCUUAAAGGUGCUUCGAUCAGAUUGAGAAUACAAUAUCAAUUAAAAGAAUUUCUCGAUUACCUCGUAAUAUUAUUGGACUGUUCUUAGUAUAUCUCAGCUUAAUAAGAUAAGAAGAGUCAUGAGACUAUAUGAGAUAUGAUCUGGUCCAUAAUGAACUUCACUGAUUUAUUUAUAUUUCUUUAGGGACAUACUUUAUUUUUAUGAAAUUGAGUUCUCUCUAAACUUAUUUCUACCAUACCGAAUGAGAUAUGGGAUGGUGAGAACUGAAUCUUGCUUAUUUUGAGAUUCAAGGAUGUCUAGCCUGUGUCUAGGACAGGAGGUGGAUAUAUUAGAGAAUAGGUUUGUAAAGCUCAUCCUAAAAGAGUUUGGGAUAUUACUUUCUGAAAGGAUUGCAAUACGAUUGUGACCCGAUAUGAUAUUUUUUUGAAAAAUUAUUUAACCAAGAUAAAGCAGUGGAAGGAAAGUUAAGCUCAAAGAGAGUGUCUCUGAAGAGCAGCGAGCUUUGAGACCUUAAAAACCUAAUCAUCAUGAGCCAGUAGACGUAUAUUCCUCCUUCACCUCAUACACAUAGUAGGAUCUCCAAUCCUUUCGAAAGGUACUCUGGUAUGCUUAAUAGAAGAUGUAGAGAAAGUCAUUUCUCAUGGGAGAUGGAGAGUAUAGAGAUGAUUUCAGAACCUACAACGAGGCGAUGUACGACAUCGACUCCAAGAAGGAGAUGUGAAAUAGCUUUCAUGAGAAGAGAUCUUCUGAAGAUUUCUGUAUGGAAUAGUCUAUGGAUUUCACUUCUUGUGAAUGGAGAUCACAAAGUUUAUAAUAAUCUUGGAGUUGGAACAGUCAUUUUGAUAACAUGAUUAAGUUGUUUGAUAAGAAAAGAAGAAUUAUGAUUUUCAAAGAGAUCAGUGGGAGUAUCCAAUACUAACAUCGAUUAAAAUAUAAUUGAAUAUAGAUAUUUUUAUAAAAGAUAUAAAUUGAGUGUCCUAAAAAUCUAUAGAGAUAGAUGUAAUUGGAUGCUUGUAUUUUCAUAGAUAAAGUACAGAGACUGGAUGCUGAAAGAGUUCAGCAUAGAAAUCUCAGAGAGGAGUCUGCUACCCUCUCGGAUAGUCGUAUGUCAUAAUGUACUUGAACUGAUAUAAAUAAUAUCGUAAAUGUCACGAGUAGAUAUCAGUUGUAUUCAGACUGUCAGCACUGGAUUGCUGUGAAAAUGACCUUAAGCUCUUAAGAAGAACUG